AUAACUGUAUAAACUGAUAAGGGUGUGUAUAUAUAAAUGUUUGUAUGCACUAUCAAUGCGUAAUGGUACAUGUGUAUAUGCAUAUCAGUGUAUAUAUAACUGAUUGCAAGUUUAUACAUACAUGCAUAAACACUUCAGUAUAUACAUGUCGUAUAUAUACACACUGUAUAUAUAUACAAACUGAUAAUAAGGGUCUAUAUGGUCAUAUAUAUCAGUCUAUAUUAUAAACAUAAACAGUAUAUAUGCACUUAUCAACACGUACGAGUGCAUUUGAGUGGGAAUAUCAUGUGUAUACAAACAUUGAUAAUUGUAUAUAACUGCUAGCAAUCAACUAUAUAAAAUGAAGCUUGCAAGAUCAAGAUCUCAAAUAUGAAUAACAUAAAGAGAUCUGCCUCGAUGAAAAGCUGCUUUCAUUGUUGUUGAUUUACAAGCAAAUUCGAUGAAGAUGAAACUCAUCAACAAUAAGAAAAACAAGUAUAAAUAAGAAAAAAAAAUUAGAUAUUCUAUCAUAAUUGGGUAUUUAGCGUACCCAAUUCAUCAAGAGAAGAAGCCCGAUCUUAUGCCUAAUUCUAUGCAAAGAAAUACGAAAUUUUGCCUCGGCUUAUUUGAUUGGAGGUGAUAGCCACAGUGUGUGUAUGUGGGAGUGUGCGUAUGUGUGAGUGUGAGUGUGAAUGUGAGUGUGAGUGUGAGUGUGAAUGUGAGUAUGUGGGUAUGUAGUACACAAAUCAGUGUACAUAUACUAUAGAAACUAAUAAUAAAAUGAAGCUUGCAAGAUCAAGAUCUCAAAUACGAAUAACAUAAAGAGACCUGCGUCGAUGAUAAGCUGCUUUCAUUCUUGUUGAUUUACAAGCAAACUUGAUGAAGAUGAAACUCAUCAACAAUAAGAAAAACUAGUAUAAAUAAGAGAAAAAAAUUAGAUGGUCUAUCAUAAUUGGGUAUUUAGCGUACCCAAUUCAUCAAGAGAAGAAGCCCAUUCUUAUGCUUAAUUCUAUGCAAAGAAAUAUGAAAAUUUGCCUCGUCUUAUUACUAUAUAAACUAAUAAUAAGUGUAUAUACUAUAUAAACU
RNAcentral lists this long non-coding RNA (1065 nucleotides) under Amborella trichopoda. Its description in RNAcentral is "long non-coding RNA (ATRI_LNC000025)". The record is from RNAcentral. Lineage: Eukaryota; Viridiplantae; Streptophyta; Magnoliopsida; Amborellales; Amborellaceae.